GACGAACGCUGGCGGCGUGCUUAACACAUGCAAGUCGAACGGAAAGGCCCUGCUUUUGUGGGGUGCUCGAGUGGCGAACGGGUGAGUAACACGUGAGUAACCUGCCCUUGACUUUGGGAUAACGUCAGGAAACUGGGGCUAAUAACGGAUAGGAGCUCCUGCUGCAUGGUGGGGGUUGGAAAGUUCCGGCGGUUGGGGAUGGACUCGCGGCUUAUCAGCUUGUUGGUGGGGUAGUGGCUUACCAAGGCUUUGACGGGUAGCCGGCCUGGGAGGGUGACCGGCCACAUUAGGACUGAGAUACGGCCCAGACUCCUACGGGAGGCAGCAGUGGGGAAUAUUGCACAAGGGGCGGAAGCCUGAUGCAGCAACGCCGCGUGCGGGAUGACGGCCUUCGGGUUGUAAACCGCUUUCGCCUGUGACGAAGCGUGAGUGACGGUAAUGGGUAAAGAAGCACCGGCUAACUACGUG
RNAcentral lists this ribosomal RNA (468 nucleotides) under uncultured bacterium. RNAcentral describes it as "partial 16S ribosomal RNA". It matches the Rfam family "Bacterial small subunit ribosomal RNA", at positions 28 to 507 of the family's 1533-position model. The record is from RNAcentral.